GAUCCUGGUUCAGGAUGAACGCUGGCGGCGUGCUUAACACAUGCAAGUCGAACGAAGCACUUCAUAAAGCUUGCUUUAAGAAGUGACUUAGUGGCGGACGGGUGAGUAACGCGUGGGUAACCUGCCUUACACAGGGGGAUAACAGUUAGAAAUGACUGCUAAUACCGCAUAAAACAGCAGAGUCGCAUGACUCAACUGUCAAAGAUUUAUCGGUGUAAGAUGGACCCGCGUCUGAUUAG
Molecule: ribosomal RNA, 239 nt
Filed under: uncultured bacterium
Lineage: Bacteria
Description: partial 16S ribosomal RNA
Rfam family: Bacterial small subunit ribosomal RNA
Source: RNAcentral